Oryctolagus cuniculus (rabbit) is the source of this 414-nucleotide non-coding RNA. The record is from RefSeq and is a predicted model, not a curated record. Lineage: Eukaryota; Metazoa; Chordata; Mammalia; Lagomorpha; Leporidae.
AGGAAACGAACAAGAUUGGUUCAUCCCUGGAGAGAUGCCACGGAUGUGCUCUGUCAGAGCUGCCGUUACAACACGGAUCAUUGACUCACGGCCAGGUGCCCUGUUGGUUACCAUGCCCUCCGGGACAGAAAAUAAGGUCUGAGCUAUGCUGUUCCUUUCUCGGAGCCCUGCGCUCAGCAUAGGUGCACGUCCACCACGGCGGGAUUCACCCUUUGUCCCUGCUUCCACCAUUUCCUUCUACAGCAGCCAGAAUCAGGCUGGGGCUCUAGGGGAGAAAACGCCUCUUUGAAUGUGAGCAGGAAGCUGCGGCCUCUAUAGAAAGGAUGCUCCUUCAAGGGGAGAUUUCUGUAUUUCUUGGGCCUGUCCCAUGCUCUUGGAACAUUUGUGCCUUAAAUGAAGUGAACCAUAUGAGAU